UCCACCACGCUCUUCCGUGGCAUCGUUUCGACUAACAGCUAGCAAAUGACUGUUAAUCAUUGGGUCCCUGGUUCGAGUCCAGGUCGUGGAGCCA
This 94-nucleotide transfer RNA is filed under the name Pseudomonas sp. SH10-3B. RNAcentral's name for it is "tRNA-Asn". The stretch from base 28 to 91 matches the Rfam family "tRNA". Rfam says of the family: Transfer RNA (tRNA) molecules are approximately 80 nucleotides in length. Lineage: Bacteria; Pseudomonadati; Pseudomonadota; Gammaproteobacteria; Pseudomonadales; Pseudomonadaceae. The record is from RNAcentral.